Long non-coding RNA from Bos taurus (domestic cattle), 1477 nucleotides. The record is from Ensembl. Lineage: Eukaryota; Metazoa; Chordata; Mammalia; Artiodactyla; Bovidae.
AGUCAGAAAUAAGUAUUUCUUAUUUACUACUUCUUCUGAAGUAGCAUGCUCAAGAAUUUCAAAUAAGGAAUUGGAUCAUGGCAUUAACUUUGAACAGAAGACCAGGAAACAAAGAACCUAUGUAAAGUGAACUAUUGUUUUGUGUUUGAGCAUUGUUUGUUUGUUUUGCAAGAUUGUCCUAGAAUUGGCUUCAAAAUAGUUUCUGUGCUGGACAGAUGACUCAGAGAGAUUAAAUUCUAGUCAAAAGGAAGAAAAGAAUGUUCGUAUUCAUUGCAUGUACCUGGAAUGGACAAGAACUCAACAAUUUUUUGAGCAAAUUAUACUACCAAGGAACUUGCAAGUCUAGUGUGUAAAAGUUUGAUAAGAAACCAUCUCCUGAGAUUCUAACCCUGUAUCUGCAGAGAACUGAGAAACUUGGGCUGCAUUCAAUUUCAACCCUGAAACUCCUUGUCUAUCAUUACAUCUAAAGUGAAAAGAGAAUAUGCUUUCCAGUGUGCACUGUAGAAGUGUCCCAGGGAUGAUGGAUAAAGAAGAAUUUCCUAAAGGACAAAGCCAGUGGACCACAAGGACAGUGGAUUGGGGGUUUCCAAGAGGGCUGAGCCGGGAAUUCAUCAAGGAGCCCACUCCAGUGCCAGCGAGGGGAGUCUGCAAUUGCUGCCCAGCAAGAUUUCCACAUUGCUAGAGACCAGCUUCUCUGUGUCAUUUAUAUCCUUCUCUUUUCCAAGUAGGAAUUUUAUUACACUUGUCCUGGUUCUGUUGCACUACUGUAUCUUGUGUUUUCGUGGGAACGUGGGGGCUGUGGGAAGUGGCAGGGAAAUUAUCUAUAGUUAGUCCAUCAUAGAACCAGAUGACGCUUCCUCAGGACUCAUGGAAAGAAUUUCACAUCACGUAGGAAUUCUAGGUUUUGAGCUGAACUGGGUUGGACUCUACAUUGUUCACCUUUGGAAAAGAGGUGUGUCAACAUGGGGUAAAAGAAGCAAAAAAAAAGUUGAGUUACACCCAAAUGGGUUAUGGCAAAAGCUGCCAAGUGUCCCUAGUAUCACUACCUCUUAAUUCCUUCUAAUCCUAGAAGCCACCAGAAUUUUAGCAAAUAUAUACAUGGUCCAAGUAGAAAUGAAAUUUCUAAAAAAAAAAAAAGAAAUUUCUCAGCCUCACUUGGAGUUGACUGUGGCCAUGUGACUCAAUGCUGACAUUUACCUAAUAAGACGUUUGCCUAAGAAGUCAUCUUAUGGGCUUCCCUGUGGUGUAGUGGUUAAGAAUCUGCCUGCCAAUGCAGGGGACACAGUUUGGAUCCCUGGUCUGGGAGGAGCCACAUGCUACAGAGCAGCUAAACCCACGCACCACAACUACUGAGCCUGUGCUCUGGAGCCCAAGUGCCUAGAGCCUGUGCUCCACGACAAGAGAAGCCACCGCAUUUGCAACAAAGUGUAGCCCCCACUCACUGCAACUAGAGAAAACCUUCACAAAGCUACAAAGA